RNAcentral lists this ribosomal RNA (224 nucleotides) under Clostridioides difficile. Its description in RNAcentral is "partial 23S ribosomal RNA". It matches the Rfam family "Bacterial large subunit ribosomal RNA", at positions 1241 to 1465 of the family's 2925-position model. Lineage: Bacteria; Bacillati; Bacillota; Clostridia; Peptostreptococcales; Peptostreptococcaceae. The record is from RNAcentral.
CCAUACGGGUUGAAGCAUGACCGUAAGGACAUGUGGACAGUAUGGGAGUGAGAAUGUUGGCAUGAGUAGCGAGAUGUGGGUGAGAAUCCCACAGGCCGUAAACCCAAGGUUUCCAGGGGAAGGUUCGUCCGCCCUGGGUUAGUCGGGACCUAAGCUGAGGCCGAAAGGCGUAGGUGAUGGACAACAGGUUGAUAUUCCUGUACUACCGAUAACCGUUUGAGAGA